GCCGCGGCGGCUCCGGGGGAGGUCGGGGCGAGGCGGGACGGCCACUCCGGCUGCGCGUCAGCGUCACCGCGUGACCCGUGACGUGACAGCGGGGAGAGCCGCGGCCUGGCCAGGUGCUCGGCGUCCGCCAGGUGCCCUCUGGGCGCUCGCCUGUGCUCACGACAGCAGCCCUCCUGGAACACGCGAGGACGGACGGAAACACGGGCGCUAGGCACUUUUCGAAUUUAGGUGAGAAGCGGAGGGACAGAGACGUUAAGUAAAAUGCCCCAGAUCACACAGCUGGUAAAUAUGUCAGAACCAAGGUUUGAAUCCAGUCCGGACCCAGAGCAUGGGCUCUUCACUACUGUACGGUUAUUGCCUUUUAUUGUCAGUCGUUCACGCGUGGAAAUAUUUUGCUACAGCAAGAACGAAGCGGGCUAAAAAGAAAAACUAGUUCGCCGCGUUAGCAAUGAUAACAACUGUGUAUUUAUUGUAUUUAUUUAUUGUAUUUAUUGUAUCUUCAGAGGUUGAGUUGGUGGUUGGGAGGCGAGAGCUAUUUGUCAGCACGUGGGAGAAGGCAUUUCGGCUAUAAAGCCCAAAACUGAUUUUCCGUACUCAAGCAGAUGAGAACCUCAUGUUUCAUUUUUAUGACUGUUGCAUAUAAAUGUGCUAAAAUACACAUAUUGGAAAACGGCUUCUUUUGUAAAUGCUAAUGCCUUACUCUAUUCAAAUAUCAUGGCAGGUUUCAAAUUUCUCUUUGAAUCCGGAGCCAUUUUCUUGUUUCUUCUGGGGCCCGUGAGAUCAUAAUCAUUACUGAUAGUUAAAGUUUGAAGUUUGGAAUAUACAUGUCAAAAGAAAAGUGCCACAGAAUUUAAAGAAUAGAGCUUACAUUAAAUUUAGAGUGGCCAAAGUGCCUUUUACCACUGUUUCUCUGCAUGCUGUGCACUAACGAAAGAUGCAGUCCAACUGGUGUAAUUACUUCGAAGGUAUUGAUUGAACAAAUACUCUGGAUCAAUGCAAUGUGCCGACAUUUCUUAGAGCAUGGAAUUUGUUGUGGACACUGCCCCUGAGUUAGGGAAGGUACUAUGUAUUGUACCAUAUUAGAAUUCUCCAUUUGGCCUUCCUAGCUGUUACUCCCAGCUGUUGACCCUAACAGCUCAAUUAUGAAUGCUAUUUGGGGUUAACAAAAUCAGGAAGGCAUUACAAAUAGAGAUGCAAAAAUUAGGGCAUCAAAAACAGAAGAAGAAAUCAAACUUGUUGGAAGUUGUCAGGAGGAAACAGUCAAGGAGAAUAGUGCCUUGUGGGAAUUAUCAAGAGUUUAUUCAGGAAAAUACAUAUUUACCUUUUUGAAACGAAUCAUUUUAAAACAGAAUUCAUCAGUCUUUCUGUAAGAAUACACAAUGACUAUGCUUAUUUUGUGGCAUACUAACUGAAUAUAAAAAAUACGUGAGCAGAAA
This is a long non-coding RNA of Canis lupus familiaris (dog), 1436 nucleotides long. RefSeq lists it as uncharacterized. Lineage: Eukaryota; Metazoa; Chordata; Mammalia; Carnivora; Canidae. The transcript is spliced from 2 exons. The record is from RefSeq and is a predicted model, not a curated record.